Molecule: ribosomal RNA, 2999 nt
Organism: Actinobacillus succinogenes 130Z
Lineage: Bacteria; Pseudomonadati; Pseudomonadota; Gammaproteobacteria; Pasteurellales; Pasteurellaceae
Rfam family: Bacterial large subunit ribosomal RNA
Source: Rfam
AGUUAAGCGACUAAGCGUACAGGGCGGAUGCCUUGGCAAUCAGAGGCGAAGAAGGACGUGCUAAUCUGCGAAAAGCUCGGAUGAGCCGAUAAGAGGCGUUUAAUCCGAGAUGUCCGAAUGGGGAAACCCGAUGGAUGAAGAAUCCAUCAUUUCAUUAUGAAUCCAUAGUAAUGAAAGGCGAACCGGGAGAACUGAAACAUCUAAGUACCCCGAGGAAAAGAAAUCAACCGAGAUUCCGUGAGUAGCGGCGAGCGAAAGCGGAGCAGCCGGUCAGUGAUAGCGGCAUAGACAGAGGAAUUGGCUGGGAAGCCAAGCGACAGAGGGUGACAGCCCCGUACUCGAAGUCUGAGCGGUGGUACUGAGCUGACGAGAAGUAGGGCGGGACACGAGGAAUCCUGUCUGAAGAAGGGGGGCCCAUCCUCCAAGGCUAAAUACUCCUGAUUGACCGAUAGUGAACCAGUACCGUGAGGGAAAGGCGAAAAGAACCCCGGCGAGGGGAGUGAAAGAGAACCUGAAACCCUGUACGUACAAGCAGUGGGAGCCCCAUCACUUAAUCCAAUUGGAAAGUGAUGGAAAUUAACCGCACGUUAAUGAUGGUAAGACGAGCGAAGCGAGUCAAACCUUCAAAAGAAGCAGUGGGAUUAAGUGAUGGGGUGACUGCGUACCUUUUGUAUAAUGGGUCAGCGACUUAUAUUUUGUAGCGAGGUUAACCGCAUAGGGGAGCCGAAGGGAAACCGAGUCUUAACUGGGCGUGGAGUUGCAAGGUAUAGACCCGAAACCCGGUGAUCUAGCCAUGGGCAGGUUGAAGGUUGGGUAACACUAACUGGAGGACCGAACCGACUAAUGUUGAAAAAUUAGCGGAUGACCUGUGGCUGGGGGUGAAAGGCCAAUCAAACCGGGAGAUAGCUGGUUCUCCCCGAAAUCUAUUUAGGUAGAGCCUUGAGCGGACACCUUCGGGGGUAGAGCACUGUUUCGGCUAGGGGUCCAUCCCGGAUUACCAACCCGAUGCAAACUGCGAAUACCGAAGAGUGAUACUCAGGAGACACACGGCGGGUGCUAACGUCCGUCGUGGAGAGGGAAACAACCCAGACCGCCAGCUAAGGUCCCGAAGUACUAGUUAAGUGGGAAACGAAGUGGGAAGGCUUAGACAGCUAGGAUGUUGGCUUAGAAGCAGCCAUCAUUUAAAGAAAGCGUAAUAGCUCACUAGUCGAGUCGGCCUGCGCGGAAGAUGUAACGGGGCUAAAACUAGUCACCGAAGCUGCGGCAUCAAUGGAGACAUUGUUGGGUAGGGGAGCGUUGUGUAAGCGGAAGAAGGUGAGUCGAGAGGCUUGCUGGACGUAUCACAAGUGCGAAUGCUGACAUAAGUAACGAUAAAACGGGUGAAAAACCCGUUCGCCGGAAGACCAAGGGUUCCUGUCCAACGUUAAUCGGGGCAGGGUGAGUCGGCCCCUAAGGCGAGGCUGAAAAGCGUAGUCGAUGGGAAACGGGUUAAUAUUCCCGUACUUGGAUAAACUGCGAUGCGGGGACGGAGAAGGUUAGGUUAUCAGACGGUUGGAUGUCUGUUUAAGCCGGUAGGUGGAGAGUUUAGGCAAAUCCGGACUCUUUAAUAACACCGAGAAGUGAUGACGAGGCUCUAAGGAGCCGAAGUAACCGAUACCAUGCUUCCAGGAAAAGCCGCUAAGCUUCAGGUUUAUCUGAACCGUACUAUAAACCGACACAGGUGGUCAGGUAGAGAAUACUCAGGCGCUUGAGAGAACUCGGGUGAAGGAACUAGGCAAAAUAGCACCGUAACUUCGGGAGAAGGUGCGCCGGGAUAAAUUGUAGAGAUAGACUCUUGAAGGUUGAACCGGUCGAAGUGACCCGCUGGCUGCAACUGUUUAUUAAAAACACAGCACUCUGCAAACACGAAAGUGGAAGUAUAGGGUGUGAUGCCUGCCCGGUGCCGGAAGGUUAAUUGAUGGUGUAAUCGCAAGAGAAGCACCUGAUCGAAGCCCCGGUAAACGGCGGCCGUAACUAUAACGGUCCUAAGGUAGCGAAAUUCCUUGUCGGGUAAGUUCCGACCUGCACGAAUGGCAUAAUGAUGGCCAGGCUGUCUCCACCCGAGACUCAGUGAAAUUGAAAUCGCCGUGAAGAUGCGGUGUACCCGCGGCUAGACGGAAAGACCCCGUGAACCUUUACUAUAGCUUGACACUGAACCUUGAAUUUUGAUGUGUAGGAUAGGUGGGAGGCAUUGAAGCGGUCACGCCAGUGACAGUGGAGCCAUUCUUGAAAUACCACCCUUUAACGUUUGAUGUUCUAACGAGGAGUGAAAACACGCUCUCGGACAGUGUCUGGUGGGUAGUUUGACUGGGGCGGUCUCCUCCCAAAGAGUAACGGAGGAGCACGAAGGUUUGCUAAUGACGGUCGGACAUCGUCAGGUUAGCGCAAUGGUAAAAGCAAGCUUAACUGCGAGACGGACAAGUCGAGCAGGUGCGAAAGCAGGUCAUAGUGAUCCGGUGGUUCUGAAUGGAAGGGCCAUCGCUCAACGGAUAAAAGGUACUCCGGGGAUAACAGGCUGAUACCGCCCAAGAGUUCAUAUCGACGGCGGUGUUUGGCACCUCGAUGUCGGCUCAUCACAUCCUGGGGCUGAAGUAGGUCCCAAGGGUAUGGCUGUUCGCCAUUUAAAGUGGUACGCGAGCUGGGUUUAGAACGUCGUGAGACAGUUCGGUCCCUAUCUGCCGUGGGCGCAGGAGAAUUGAAAGGGGCUGCUCCUAGUACGAGAGGACCGGAGUGGACGCAUCCCUGGUGUUCCGGUUGUGUCGCCAGACGCAUUGCCGGGUAGCUACAUGCGGGAGAGAUAAGUGCUGAAAGCAUCUAAGCACGAAACUUGCCUUAAGAUGAGUUCUCCCAGACUUUAGGUCUGUAAGGGUUGUUGUAGACGACGACGUAGAUAGGUGGGAUGUGUAAGCGUUGCGAGACGUUGAGCUAACCCAUACUAAUUGCCCGAGAGGCUUAACUAU